Molecule: non-coding RNA, 531 nt
Organism: Paramuricea clavata
Lineage: Eukaryota; Metazoa; Cnidaria; Anthozoa; Malacalcyonacea; Plexauridae
Source: the annotation of a GenBank genome assembly
AUUUCUGAUGAGUGAAAGAGUAAAAUAACAAUCCUUUGUAAUCGGGUCAUUUGUAAAGGGUUUCUAAAAGAUAUUUUGCGCCGAAAGCGAAGAAAUGUUAUGGAACAAAACUGGGAUAGAGAAAAAAUGGGAAAGAAAUGGCUAUGUACGUAAAAAUAUACAAGGAAAAUCGAAAAAUUUCGAUAAUGGCACAUCCGCCAUGAUAACGGCUUCAUACUUAUUCGGCUUUCAGGGGCAUUCUUUCCCUCAAUUCUACGCCUUAUUGUGACAUUGUAUCAACGAAGAGGGUAAUAAAUAUUUCCUUUGAGAAAGUUGGAUAGAAACGGAUAAUUUUUAGGAGCUGUAAGGUGAAAAAUAUAUACUAUCUGAUAUUGACAUAGCAACGUGAUCCAUUGUGUAUGAUUUGUUUCUAUAUAAAUAAAUUCACAUGAAAGCUGUAUACAAUCUCUGUCGUCAAGCAAUAAACUAUAUAACUCAAAUGUGAAAAAUCAAGAAAAGAUCUAUCUUCCUCAAUGUUUCAUGUCCACUGUG